Molecule: ribosomal RNA, 428 nt
Filed under: uncultured Desulfocella sp.
Lineage: Bacteria; Pseudomonadati; Thermodesulfobacteriota; Desulfobacteria; Desulfobacterales; Desulfobacteraceae
Description: bacterial SSU rRNA
Rfam family: Bacterial small subunit ribosomal RNA
Source: RNAcentral
UGAGGAAUUCUGCGCAAUGGGGGAAACCCUGACGCAGCAAUGCCGCGUGAGUGAAGAAGGCCUUCGGGUCGUAAAGCUCUGUCAGAUGGGAAGAAGUUAUUAAUUAUUAAUAGUGGUUAGUAUUGACGGUACCAUCAAAGGAAGCACCGGCUAACUCCGUGCCAGCAGCCGCGGUAAUACGGAGGGUGCAAGCGUUAUUCGGAAUCAUUGGGCGUAAAGGGCGCGUAGGCGGUAUGUCAAGUCAGAUGUGAAAUCCCGGGGCUUAACUUCGGAGGGUCAUUUGAAACUGACAUACUUGAGUUCGGUAGAGGAAAGCGGAAUUCCUGGUGUAGCGGUGAAAUGCGUAGAUAUCAGGAGGAACAUCAGUGGCGAAGGCGGCUUUCUGGCCCGAUACUGACGCUGAUGCGCGAAGGCAUGGGUAGCAAACG